GAUGAACGCUGGCGGCGUGCUUAACACAUGCAAGUCGAACGGAAAGGCUCCUGCUUGCAGGGGUACUCGAGUGGCGGACGGGUGUGUAACACGGGGGUGAUCUGCCCUGCACUUCGGGAUAAGCCUGGGAAACCGGGACUAAUACCGGAUAGGACGAUGGUUUGGAUGCCAUUGUGGAAAGUUUUUUCGGUGUGGGAUGAGCUCGCGGCCUAUCCGCUUGUUUGUGGGGGAAUGGCCUACCAAGGCGUCGACGGGUAGCCGGCCUGAGAAGGUGUACGGCCACAAUGGGACUGAGAUACGGCCCAGACUCCUACGGGAGGCAGCAGUGGGGAAUAUUGCACAAUGGGGGCAAGCCUGAUGCAGCGACGCCGCGUGGGGGAUGACGGCCUUCGGGUUGUAAACUCCUUUCGCUAGGGACGAAGCGCAAGUGACGGUACCUGGAGAAGAAGCACCGGCUAACUACGUG
Molecule: ribosomal RNA, 466 nt
Filed under: uncultured bacterium
Lineage: Bacteria
Description: partial 16S ribosomal RNA
Rfam family: Bacterial small subunit ribosomal RNA
Source: RNAcentral